Molecule: long non-coding RNA, 2217 nt
Organism: Gorilla gorilla gorilla (western lowland gorilla)
Lineage: Eukaryota; Metazoa; Chordata; Mammalia; Primates; Hominidae
Exons: 4
Source: RefSeq, a predicted model, not a curated record
UGACCAAAACCUAAAUUGUAGCAGACAAAACACAGUCUUUUAUCAUGAAACAACAUAAACCAGAGCAGAAAUUUAAGGUUCUUCUCUUUUGAAAACUCAGAAUGUCUUUCAAAUAUCUUAUCCAUGUGUAACACAUUCUGGAAAUUUUAACCCAAUUUCAUAAUGAGUGUAGACUUGAGAACAGACAUAGUUUAAAGACCAGACAUAUUUAUAAGUUAAUUAGAUCUAUGCCUCUCAGGGAUAUAGCAGUGUUCUUAUUCUACAUAUACAUGAAGAAUUUAUAUUUUCACACCAGUAGGAAGUAUACCUACAUUAAGCCUUGGCAACAUGGCCAAACUCAUCUCUACAAAAUAUCAAAAAUUAGCCGGGCAUGGCGGCUCAUACUUGUAUUCCCAGCUACUCAGCAGGCUGAGGUGAGAGGAUCUCUUGAGCCAGGGGAGGUUGAGGCUGCAGAAAGCCGUGAUUGUACCACUGCACUUCAACUUGGGUGACAGAGUGAGACCCUGUCUCAGAAGAAGAAGAAAGAGGAAAGAAGAAAGAAGGAAGAAGAAGAAAAGAAGUAUACCUGCAUUAUUAUAUAGAUCAGAUUUCCAAAGUCAAGUGCUUGGGGCUAGGAAAGAAGGUAUAUGCAUGAGUCGACUCUCCGUCUAUUUUCAGAACAAGCUGCAAUGAGGGCCUGAUAGUCAAAAUUACUUGGAGGAAAAUCACAGCUCUUCUGCCCUAGAAAGUCUGCUGAGUCUCACCAGGAGAAUCUCACAGGGAGGCUGCCACCAAUUCUCUCUGCAAGGACUGUGAAACUCAGGGUCCCGGAACCUGAGGAGAUCGAGGGACAACUGUAUAUCAGCCUGCUGAGAAAUGUUUUGCAGGAUUCAUGAUUGGGAUCUUCUUACUAAGCCUUUCUUGAGGGAGUGUCUCAGACUCAACCAGCCUCAAUUUUCCCAUAAUCCUUCUUCAUUGCCUUCCUAGAUUGCUACUCCGCAUCUCAGCUGACCCCAUUCAAACAAACUCCAAUAGUGUCUCCAAUCGCGUGCUGUGUUAAAUUUUAACUUUAUAACCAACCAUCAUUUGCUACUUCCAUCUAACCAAGCCAGUUUCCUUAUGAUGCACACACAUGUGUUUAGCUCACAAUUUGUUCUACAUGCUUGCUUAUUUAUUCAUUCAGCAAGUAUUUAUUGAGCCCCUACUGUGCACUAGCUGCUGUCUCAGGUGCUGGGGAGACAGGAAGAUCAAAAUAAAACCCCUGCCUUCAAGUGCCUUAUUGUUUAAGGGUCAACAGAAUAAACACAUAAGUGAAUAUAUAUCAUGUGAGGUGGUAAAAAGGGCUGGGCAGAAAAUAAAUGUUGGAAAAGGAUGGAAAGUACUGGAGGGGUGGUGUGAUUUUAGGCUGGAGCGUCAGGAAAAGCAGAGAAGAAAUGACUGUUACAGAUGGAAGUGAGUGGAAUGCUCCAAGCAGAGGGAACAGCAAGUGAAAGCGCCCUGUGGUAGAAGCAUAUUUGGCACAUGUGAGGGACUGCAUAAAGGCCAGUGUGGCUGCAUGGGGGUUUGGGAGAUGUAGGGACAAGGUCAGAGAGGGAGCCAAUGUCAGCAUCAUUGCUGUUAGGACUGGGUGGGACCCCAAAAGAAGUAUUAAAUAGUACCAUCUAGUUUUUGUUCUUGAGGAGGUCACGUGUUAAUAUACUGAUUGUUUGAGGUACAACAGAGUCAAAAAGGGGAUAAUUUAUCGAGGUACAAGCCUAGGAUAUGGGUUGCUCCUGUUGCCCCUAAGUCUACCAUGCCUGCACAGAUCCUGCUAGUUCUUUCUUUUUUUUUUUUUGAGACGGAGUCUCGCUCUGUCGCCCAGGCUGGAGUGCAGUGGCGCGAUGGCGGCUCACUGCAAGCUCCGCCUUCCGGGUUCACGCCAUUCUCCUGCUUCAGCCUCCCAAGUAGCUGGGACUACAGGCGCCCGCCACCACGCCCGGCUAAUUUUUUUGUAUUUUUAGUAGAGAUGGGGUUUCACCAUGUUAGCCAGGAUGGUCUCGAUCUCCUGACCUCAUGAUCCACCCACCUUGGCCUCCCAAAGUGCUGGGAUUACAGGCGUGAGCUACUGCGCCCGGCCAGAUCCUGCUAGUUCUUAUUCCAUUUGUAGAAUUUCUCUGGCACUCAGCAGAGGAUGAUACCGUAUUGCAUGACAAAAUGCCUUCAUUUUUUUUUUUCCAAAUAUAGUUUACUUUACAACCA